AUUGAACGCUGGCGGCAGGCCUAACACAUGCAAGUCGAGCGGAUGAAGGGAGCUUGCUCCUGGAUUCAGCGGCGGACGGAUGAGUAAUGCCUAGGAAUCUGCCUGGUAGUGGGGGAUAACGUCCGGAAACGGGCGCUAAUACCGCAUACGUCCUGAGGGAGAAAGUGGGGGAUCUUCGGACCUCACGCUAUCAGAUGAGCCUAGGUCGGAUUAGCUAGUUGGUGGGGUAAAGGCCCACCAAGGCGACGAUCCGUAACUGGUCUGAGAGGAUGAUCAGUCACACUGGAACUGAGACACGGUCCAGACUCCUACGGGAGGCAGCAGUGGGGAAUAUUGGACAAUGGGCGAAAGCCUGAUCCAGCCAUGCCGCGUGUGUGAAGAAGGCCUUCGGAUUGUAAAGCACUUUAAGUUGGGAGGAAGGGCAGUAAGUUAAUACCUUGCUGUUUUGACGUUACCAACAGAAUAAGCACCGGCUAACUUCGUG
Molecule: ribosomal RNA, 484 nt
Filed under: uncultured bacterium
Lineage: Bacteria
Description: partial 16S ribosomal RNA
Rfam family: Bacterial small subunit ribosomal RNA
Source: RNAcentral